RNAcentral lists this ribosomal RNA (339 nucleotides) under Demodex sp. C CB-2023a. RNAcentral describes it as "partial large subunit ribosomal RNA". The record is from RNAcentral. Lineage: Eukaryota; Metazoa; Arthropoda; Arachnida; Trombidiformes; Demodicidae.
UUGUAUUUUGACUGUGCUAAGGUAGCGAAGUCAUUUGUUUUUUUAUUGAAAACUUGUAUGAGGGGAUUUAUGGAGAGUAUUUUUUGUAGGUCUUAUUUAUUGAAUUUUAUUUUUCUAUGAAAAGUUAGAUGAUUUCUCAAAGACGAGAAGACCCCAAAAUCUUUAUUUUAGAUGGAUAAUUUUUAAUUUUUGUUUGGGGGAAAAGGUUAUAUUUAUAGUUAGUUUUUUUAUGUAGAACUUUAUUAGGAUAAUGGGAUAGAUACUUUGGGGGUAACAGGAUUAUUUUUUUUUGAAGUUCUUAUUUUAGGAGAAGAUUAUUACCUCGAUGUUGGCUUUUGA